UACGGAGGGUGCUAGCGUUGUUCGGAAUGACUGGGCGUAAAGCGCGCGUAGGCGGCUUGAUAAGUCGGAAGUGAAAUCCCAGGGCUUAACCCUGGAAUGGCUUUCGAAACUGUCUUGCUAGAGUAUGGUAGGGGAUAGUGGAAUUCCUAGUGUAGAGGUGAAAUUCGUAGAUAUUAGGAGGAACACCGGAGGCGAAGGCGGCUAUCUGGACCAUUACUGACGCUGAGGCGCGAAAGCGUGGGGAGCAAACAGG
RNAcentral lists this ribosomal RNA (253 nucleotides) under uncultured bacterium. RNAcentral's name for it is "partial 16S ribosomal RNA". It matches the Rfam family "Bacterial small subunit ribosomal RNA", at positions 524 to 776 of the family's 1533-position model. The record is from RNAcentral.